AGAACGUCGUGAGACAGUUCGGUCCCUAUCCGUCGUGGGCGUAGGAAAUUUGAGAGGAGCUGUCCUUAGUACGAGAGGAUCGGGAUGGACAUACCUCUGGUGUACCAGUUGUCGUGCCAACGGCAUAGCUGGGUAGCUAUGUAUGGACGGGAUAAGUGCUGAAAGCAUCUAAGCAUGAAGCCCCCCUCAAGAUGAGAUUUCCCAACUUCGGUUAUAAGAUCCCUCGAAGAUGACGAGGUUAAUAGGUUCGAGGUGGAAGCGUGGUGACACGUGGAGCUGACGAAUACUAAUCGAUCGAAGACUUAAUCAA
Molecule: ribosomal RNA, 310 nt
Filed under: Staphylococcus epidermidis NIHLM037
Lineage: Bacteria; Bacillati; Bacillota; Bacilli; Caryophanales; Staphylococcaceae
Description: bacterial LSU rRNA
Rfam family: Bacterial large subunit ribosomal RNA
Source: RNAcentral